UACAGUGACUGCAAGCGUUAUUCGGAUUCACUGGGCGUAAAGGGUGCGCAGGUGGCCAAGUGUGUCAGGUGUGAAAUCCCGGGGCUUAACCCCGGAACUGCGCCUGAAACUGCUUGGCUAGAGCAUUGGAGAGGGAAGUGGAAUUCACGGUGUAGCAGUGAAAUGCGUAGAUAUCGUGAGGAACACCAGAGGCGAAGGCGACUUCCUGGACAAUUGCUGACACUCAGGCACGAAGGCCAGGGGAGCGAACGGG
This 253-nucleotide ribosomal RNA is filed under the name uncultured bacterium. RNAcentral describes it as "partial 16S ribosomal RNA". It matches the Rfam family "Bacterial small subunit ribosomal RNA", at positions 524 to 776 of the family's 1533-position model. The record is from RNAcentral.